CGCAUGGGCUUGGUCCUGACCCUAAAAUCAAUUAUUACCCAACUUACACAUGCAAGUCUCCGCACACCCGUGAGGACGCCCUUCUUUCCCCCCCGGGGAAUAAGGAGCUGGUAUCAGGCACUCUAACGAGCCCAAAACAUCUAGCGAAGCCACACCCACAAGGGAAUUCAGCAGUGAUAAAUAUUAAAUAUGAACGUCAGUUCGAUUUAGUCAGUGUAAACAGAGCCGGCCAAUCUGGUGCCAGCCGCCGCGGCUAUACCACAGGCUCAAGUUGAUAACGUUCGGCGUAAAGCGUGAUUAAAGAAAUAUGCUAACUGAAGUCAAACUUGAACUGCACCGUAAAAUAUAUGUUCUUAAGAAGCCCACAAUCGAAAGAUACUUCAACUAACCAACUUGAACUCACGACAACUAAGGCCCAAACUGGGAUUUGAUACCCCACUAUGCUUAGUCGUAAACUUUAACUUACACCCACAUCGCCAGGGAACUACGAGCAAUGCUUAAAACCCAAAGGACUUGACGGUGCCCCAGACCCACUAGAGGAGCCUGUCCCAUAAUCGAUGACCCCCGCUUAACCUUACCAUUUUUAGUCUAUCAGUCUGUAUACUUCCGUCGUCAGCUUACCUCCUGAGAGGAAAAAAGUAAGCCCCCUGUUUACCGACAAUACGUCAGGUCAAAGUGCAGCAAAUAAAAUGGCCGAAGAUGGGCUACACUUUCUAAUAUAGAAGAAUACGAAAAACUAUAUGAAAACAUAGUUAGAAGGUGGAUUUAGCAGUAAGAAGAAAGUAGAGUAUUCUUCUUAACUCGGCAAUAGGGUGCGUACACACCGCCCGUCACCCUCUUCAAUAGACACCCCCCCCCAGUAUCUAACAAACAACUUCAUUUCAGAAGAGGCAAGUC
RNAcentral lists this non-coding RNA (897 nucleotides) under Pristimantis sp. SBH-2008. RNAcentral describes it as "partial 12S ribosomal RNA". It matches the Rfam family "Bacterial small subunit ribosomal RNA". Lineage: Eukaryota; Metazoa; Chordata; Amphibia; Anura; Strabomantidae. The record is from RNAcentral.